Molecule: non-coding RNA, 258 nt
Organism: Odocoileus virginianus texanus
Lineage: Eukaryota; Metazoa; Chordata; Mammalia; Artiodactyla; Cervidae
Source: RefSeq, a predicted model, not a curated record
UUCACAGAGACAAGAAACAUGGUUCAACUAAAGAAAAGCAACUUCUAAAGAAACAAAUGACUGUAAACCCUACUAAGGACACAGAAAUGCCCAGUACCGCCCUGCCUUUAACAUCUGGAUUCUGCAAGGUGACCUGACCGGAGGAGAUGCCCGCCCAAGAAAGUCACAAGGUAAAGAAAGUGAGGCACUUUAGGAAGCAGGAGAAACAGGACUUGAAUGAAGGCAACUGAGCUCCAAAACCUGAACAAUUAAAUUCUG